AUGUCCGUAGCUUAAUUGGUAGAGCUUUAAUUUUCUAGAUUAAAGGUUGUGGGUUCAAAUCCUGCCGGACAUA
This 73-nucleotide transfer RNA is filed under the name Clydonella sawyeri. Its description in RNAcentral is "tRNA-Arg". It matches the Rfam family "tRNA". Rfam says of the family: Transfer RNA (tRNA) molecules are approximately 80 nucleotides in length. Their secondary structure includes four short double-helical elements and three loops (D, anti-codon, and T loops). Further hydrogen bonds mediate the characteristic L-shaped molecular structure. tRNAs have two regions of fundamental functional importance: the anti-codon, which is responsible for specific mRNA codon recognition, and the 3' end, to which the tRNAs corresponding amino acid is attached (by aminoacyl-tRNA synthetases). tRNAs cope with the degeneracy of the genetic code in two manners: having more than one tRNA (with a specific anti-codon) for a particular amino acid; and 'wobble' base-pairing, i.e. permitting non-standard base-pairing at the 3rd anti-codon position. Lineage: Eukaryota; Discosea; Flabellinia; Vannellidae. The record is from RNAcentral.